This 774-nucleotide ribosomal RNA is filed under the name uncultured marine bacterium. RNAcentral's name for it is "bacterial SSU rRNA". It matches the Rfam family "Bacterial small subunit ribosomal RNA", at positions 14 to 794 of the family's 1533-position model. The record is from RNAcentral.
UGAUCUGCUCAGAUGACGCUAGCGCAGCUAUACAUGCAGUCGAACGGUAACAUGGUGCUGCACCAGAUGACGAGUGGCGCACGGGUGCGUAACGCGUAUGCAACCUACCUUUUACUAGAGUAUAGCCCAGAGAAAUUUGGAUUAAUCCUCUAUAACAUCUUUUAAUUUCAUGAUUUUAAGAUUAAAGUUUUAACGGUAAAAGAUGGGCAUGCGUCCUAUUAGUUUGUAGGUGAGGUAACGGCUCACCUAGACUACGAUAGGUAGGGGCCCUGAGAGGGGGAUCCCCCACACUGGUACUGAGACACGGACCAGACUCCUACGGGAGGCAGCAGUAAGGAAUAUUGGACAAUGGACGAAAGUCUGAUCCAGCCAUGCCGCGUGCAGGAUGACAGCCCUACGGGUUGUAAACUGCUUUUAUACAGGAAGAAACACUCCGACGUGUCGGAGCUUGACGGUACUGUAAGAAUAAGGAUCGGCUAACUCCGUGCCAGCAGCCGCGGUAAUACGGAGGAUCCAAGCGUUAUCCGGAAUCAUUGGGUUUAAAGGGUCCGCAGGCUGUUUUUUAAGUCAGAGGUGAAAUCCUACAGCUCAACUGUAGAACUGCCUUUGAUACUGGAAAACUUGAGUUAUUGUGAAGUGGUUAGAAUGUGUGGUGUAGCGGUGAAAUGCAUAGAUAUCACACAGAAUACCGAUUGCGAAGGCAGAUCACUAACAAUAUACUGACGCUCAUGGACGAAAGCGUGGGGAGCGAACAGGAUUAGAUACCCUGGUAGU